This 75-nucleotide transfer RNA is filed under the name Candidatus Roizmanbacteria bacterium CG10_big_fil_rev_8_21_14_0_10_45_7. RNAcentral's name for it is "tRNA-Arg". It matches the Rfam family "tRNA". Rfam says of the family: Transfer RNA (tRNA) molecules are approximately 80 nucleotides in length. Their secondary structure includes four short double-helical elements and three loops (D, anti-codon, and T loops). Further hydrogen bonds mediate the characteristic L-shaped molecular structure. tRNAs have two regions of fundamental functional importance: the anti-codon, which is responsible for specific mRNA codon recognition, and the 3' end, to which the tRNAs corresponding amino acid is attached (by aminoacyl-tRNA synthetases). tRNAs cope with the degeneracy of the genetic code in two manners: having more than one tRNA (with a specific anti-codon) for a particular amino acid; and 'wobble' base-pairing, i.e. permitting non-standard base-pairing at the 3rd anti-codon position. The record is from RNAcentral. Lineage: Bacteria; Candidatus Roizmaniibacteriota.
GCCCUCGUAGCUCAAAGGAUAGAGUAUUGGUCUUCGGAACCAAGGAUAGAGGUCCGAUUCCUCUCGAGGGCACCA